GACGAACGCUGGCGGCGUGCUUAACACAUGCAAGUCGAACGGAAAGGCCCUGCUUGCAGGGUACUCGAGUGGCGAACGGGUGAGUAACACGUGGGUGAUCUGCCCUGCACUUCGGGAUAAGCCUGGGAAACUGGGUCUAAUACCGGAUAGGAGCCAUUUUUAGUGUGAUGGUUGGAAAGUUUUUUCGGUGUAGGAUGAGCUCGCGGCCUAUCAGCUUGUUGGUGGGGUAAUGGCCUACCAAGGCGGCGACGGGUAGCCGGCCUGAGAGGGUGGACGGCCACAUUGGGACUGAGAUACGGCCCAGACUCCUACGGGAGGCAGCAGUGGGGAAUAUUGCACAAUGGGCGCAAGCCUGAUGCAGCGACGCCGCGUGGGGGAUGACGGCCUUCGGGUUGUAAACUCCUUUCGCUAGGGACGAAGCUUUUUGUGACGGUACCUAGAGAAGAAGCACCGGCUAACUACGU
This 464-nucleotide ribosomal RNA is filed under the name uncultured bacterium. RNAcentral's name for it is "partial 16S ribosomal RNA". It matches the Rfam family "Bacterial small subunit ribosomal RNA", at positions 28 to 506 of the family's 1533-position model. The record is from RNAcentral.